CGAAAAGUCACUAACACUGGGACGAUUUGGUCGGGCGGACCCCGCGGCUACUCCACGCCAGGAACCCGAUACCCAGGGUGGAGGGGGGCAGCAGGAGCGAGGACCCGGAGCGCGAGCAGCUGCAAGAGCAGCGGGGGCACCCGCACUCCUCGCCUGCCGACCCACGCUGCGCGCCCCUUCCUCUGAUUGGACGGGAGCAGCCCGGGGGGCGGGCGGACGGGAGGGAAGGCAGAGAUUGGCUAAGCGUGGGAAGAAGGCGGAGCCUUGUCGGGGAGGGAGGCGGAGCUUGGCUCCUAGGGCUAGCCCGGUCCCCCCGCUGGGAUUCCGCCCGGGGCUGGCGGCUCUGAGGCCUUCCAGAUAGACGACCCAGCAACCGGUGACGCCGCCCGCAGGAGGCCGACGACUGGUCAGCCGGGGACGCGGGACUGGAGCGUGACUCCCUAUCUCGAGGCGCCUCCCAGCUGCCCCACUCGGCGGCCGCGCGCUCCGCCUGCCCCUUCCUCCGACGCCCCAGUCCCGCGAUCCGGGAGGCGGGGGCGGCGAGCCGGCUGAGUGGGGGCUGCGCGGCGUACAAGGAGCCAGUCGGCGACCGAUUUCCUCCCAUUCACAGACCCUUUUGCUUCCAGGGCAAACUACAUCAUGGAAUGAGUGUACAGAACAUCCUGUUACAAAGGCAUGAGAAGAGAACAUCCUGUAGUGGCCACUCCUGCCCAUCGUGGAGGGAGCAGAAACUGCAGAGCUGAGGUGCUGUCCAAAGCAAAGGUGCAGUACUUUGGGGUUUCUCAGAUAACCAUCCCUUACCCGGGCCCCAGUCGUCUCUGAGACUUUUGCCCAGACUGCUGCUUCUGCACAGGUACCCUCCUUGUCCUUCCAGCCCAGGCCUGGCUGGGUUCACACUGGGGACUUAGAAAACCAGAGUCACAGAGGAAGGUGUUGCUGUCAUGUAGGCCCAGGGGCCUUCUCAUUGCCCCUCCCCCGUUGGUGUUUCCUAGUGCAUCUCCAGGCCCAGACCUCCGACGUACUGACACAAAACAGGCUGGCUAUUCC
This 1047-nucleotide long non-coding RNA is filed under the name Vulpes vulpes (red fox). RNAcentral's name for it is "lncRNA (ENSVVUG00000005744.1)". Lineage: Eukaryota; Metazoa; Chordata; Mammalia; Carnivora; Canidae. The record is from RNAcentral.